GCGCCUCCUUUUGACGGCGUGCCGUACUAUUUAUCUGGCAACCCUGCUACUCAGCUCAAAGAGUCAGAAGUGGUCAGAAAUCAGACGUUGACGGUCAUAAACGAGACGCUACAGAAAAUACACGUAAAAUAACUCAAUUUUCCAAAAAUAUAAAACGUAAAAUAUACACAACAAAAAUCCAAGCAAUUGGUGUGGCCUGGGGUCUCGAAUACGGCUCACUUGGCCAUUUCGUGAUAGGUGGAAGAUUCCUUCCGAGGGUCGUUCGCUUCUUCAUUUUGGCGAUAUUCUCCUGUACAGGUAAGGAGAUUAUCGAGGAAGGAAAGGGUCUUCUUUUAAUGGGCAACCCAAUUUUCAUCUACGAACAGAGACAAAUCACCAGUCAGAGCAAAUUCGUCUCCGUUGAGAUUCUCGCAUUCUCAUCAAUCCUGGGUCUUCGCAUCGUAGUUGCAGUCCUGGCAUCUUAGCUUAGCCUUCGUUGGAGCACCGCAGCAUUGCAGAGCAUCGCAGCAUUGCAGAGCAUCGCAGCAUUGCAGAGCAGCGCAGCAUUGCAGAGCAGCGCAGCAUUGCAGAGCAUCGCAGCAUUGCAGAGCAUCGCAGCAGAGCAGCGCAGCAUUGCAGAGCAUCGCAUCUUCAGCGGGCUGAGAGGAAGGCUGUGCAGGGCUGAGCAGCUGAUCAUCUUUGAGAUGCGAGAGCUCAAUGGAGAUAUCUGUUUUGCCGAUAAUAUAAUUGUGUUUUUAAA
Long non-coding RNA from Neodiprion virginianus, 739 nucleotides. RefSeq lists it as uncharacterized. The transcript has 2 exons. The record is from RefSeq and is a predicted model, not a curated record. NCBI's taxonomy places the organism in Eukaryota, Metazoa, Arthropoda, Insecta, Hymenoptera, Diprionidae.